AAACCCAAAGCGACGCCCGUCUUCUUGCGGUCCAUACUCAUCUCUCCUCCGCCUCCUCCUCCCUUCAGGGUUUCUUCUCUCCUCGGGAAUCGCUGGGAGCUGCGCUCUUCGUUCUCUUCUUGUCGAUCCGUGGUCGAGGAUCUCUUGAUGGAAAAUGAGCCGCGAGAUUCGUCAUUUUAAGUUGCUUUGGGAGCGAUCCUGUUAGUAGAGGAUACGACCUUAUUCUUUUCUUGAGGUUGGAAGAUGCCAGCUACACAUAUCUCAAGCAACAAACUACUUCGAUUCUCCGUAGAACUUCUUUUCCGAGAAGGCCAGACGGGCUUGUUUCAGUCACAUUCAUUCUCCAGUCUUGUUGACAGCGUUCAAACCUUUCCAAUUAUCGAUCGCUAUACAUCAUCACAGUCUAUUGUUGGAAAACUGUCCCAAUUGGUUCCUUUUCCUUCUUUGGCUGGUUCAUCUUGUCAAUCGCGUAUACAUAACAUUGGUAGCCUGGUUUCCGUGUUCCCUCAAAGGUCAUUUAUCCAUUUUGAGAGGGAUGUGACAUCCACUUGCACUUCUUUACCUGGUGGAGCUACAUGGGCUGUCCGCCACGAUAGUCGGGAUACACGUGGUUCUUUCUUGAGAGCUGAUGCUUUUUUCCCCAAUAGAAGUCUCGAUUACUGGAAAAGAGUAUGCAAGACUCUGAGAUGUAAAGAAGUUUUGGGCUCUUAUUUGGUUUACAAGCAGUUCUUGUCCGAGACAAUUGGGAAAAGCUUGUCUUGUAAUUUUUUUGCACAGGGUGGGAUUGAGUUAUUUUCAUUAUUCUUCACAUCAUGUACUACUGGAGCAGCUCCUGUCCUGUCUCUUGAUCAGUCUCUACGUGAAGAGCAACUUGAUAAUCCUUCAUCUGAGUCUGACCAGAAAAAGCCAAGUAACAGAGCAUUGAAACUACUUUCUGGAUCGUGUUAUUUGCCGCACCCAGAUAAGGAGGAAACUGGUGGUGAGGAUGCUCAUUUUAUAUGGGACGAGCAGGCCAUUGGUGUAGCAGAUGGUGUUGGUGGGUGGGCCAAUCAUGGGGUUGAUGCAGGCCAAUAUUCUAGAGCACUUAUGUCACAUUCAGUAGAUGCAAUUGAAGAAGAAUCCAAAGGGUCCAUUGAUCCAUUAAGGGUGUUAGAGAAAGCUUAUACAAGAACCAAAGCUGAAGGAUCUUCAACAGCUUGCAUUAUUGCUCUCACAGAUCAGGGCAUUCGUGCUGUCAAUCUUGGUGACAGUGGUUUCAUAGUUGUUAGAGAUGGAUGCACUAUCUUCCGGUCACCGGUGCAGCAACAUGAUUUUAAUUUCACUUAUCAACUUGAGAGCAACAAUGCAAGUGAUCUACCUAGUGCUGCCCAGGUAUUCAGCUUCCCAGUGGAAUCAGGUGAUGUGAUCAUUGCAGGAACAGAUGGACUCUUUGAUAACUUGUACAACAGUGAGAUCACAGCUGUUGUGGUUCACGGCAUUAGGGCUGGUCUGGGACCUCAAGUGAUGGCUCAGAAGAUAGCUGCAUUAGCUCGCCAACGAGCGCAGGACAAGAACAGGCAAACCCCGUUCUCGGCUGCUGCCCAAGAAGCUGGCUAUAGAUAUUACGGAGGCAAGCUUGACGACAUAACUGUCGUCGUAUCCUACAUCACUGCCUUUGGCAACCAGGCCCCAUCGUGUCUUUGUACAUAACACACACUAUUAUGACAAGGUUGAUCAAGGCUCGUGGAUUCUACAUCAUGUUGCUCUGCUUCUGGUCAUUUGCUGCUGAGUUAUCAUGUCGAAUCAACCCAUUUUUCUGCACCAAGUUGUAAGAUGUGAGAGGAGACAAGGAGGACGGCGAACGGUACUCAAACAAGGCCGUGGGAAGCAGGAACUGUCCUGAUCAGCAUCGACAAGUAUCGAGGGUGAAUCAGAUGGUGGAUAUGUUAAUAUAGAUGCAUAGUGUAAAUAAAUAAAUAAUUUAACGUUGUUUUCUAGUUAAUCUCACUUUUUGUUUUUCCGUAAUCUCGAUUAAAAGAACCUUCAUGUCAUGGCAGGGCCAUUAUUUUGUGUUACCGGAGUGAAACUAUUGGUUCCAUUCAGCUUUUGCUAGGGAACAACAAUCCAUAUUUUUGGCUAA
RNA transcript from Musa acuminata AAA Group (dessert banana), 2119 nucleotides. It is a transcript of the gene named probable protein phosphatase 2C 80, with no coding region annotated. Lineage: Eukaryota; Viridiplantae; Streptophyta; Magnoliopsida; Zingiberales; Musaceae. The transcript has 7 exons. The record is from RefSeq and is a predicted model, not a curated record.